UACACCAAUUUAACCUCCAUUUUGCUCUUAAAUUUAACCCCAAAAUGGACGAGCGUCGCUCUCGGUUGGCCGAGUUCGACGCUAUCAGGUGCACUUCGAUUAAAAAAAGACAGGAGAUGUGGGAACGGAGGGAGGGGCGGAAUGUCUUACCCUGGUAGUCGGCUCCAGGCGACGGUUCGUUGGGCUUUCACCUGGCGCCUGUUCCGCCAGUCGGUCGUCGGCUCCCGGAGGACGAGGACGACUGGGCCGUGGGAGAUCCAACCAGUUCAGGGUGUACCCCGCCUCCUGCCCGAUGACAGCUGGGAUAGGCUCCAGCACGCCCGCGACCCUAGUGAGGAGAAGCGGCUCGGAAAAUGGAUGGAUGGAUGGAUUUCAUAGAUCAGUAUUCUAUACAGUACAUAUAUGAUAUCUUUUUUUUUUUUUUUUUCAAAUAUUUUUUCUUUAUUUAUAAUCUCUCUAAAACAUUCCAGAUUGACAUAUCAAAAAAUGUCGAUGCAAAAGGGCCAAACCAAGAUGCUCCUUCAGGGAGGAAACCAUUCAUGGCGUACCUAUGAAGGAGAAUGCUGAGGGCAGCACAAGGAACAGGCCGUUGCUGUACAUGGUGAAGGUGACGGCGAAGUACAUGACCAGGCUGCCCACGACAAAGAUGGUGUUGACCGCCGUCCAGUACGACAUCUCCAAACCCAGCUACACACACGCACACACACACCCAGGAAGUAAGAAGCAUAAUCAUCUCAACAAAGGAGGUCAAAGCAUAAGGAGGAUACCUGGAUGGUGACGGCAAAUAGCAGGGAGGUCUGCGUGAGGACAGCGAAGGACUGAUAGUCAGCCACAUCCCUGCCGUCAGCACGCGCCGCCUGGCUGACUGCAGCGUAUGGGAUGAAGAAGAGCACCAGGGAGCUGUAGCAGCUGUGCAGGGCACACUUGAAGAAGGCCGUCUUGCUGAAAUACAGGUUGAGCUGCCCCGGCACGUACAGCUGAGGGUGCUGGAAGCUCCACGCGUCAUUUACGUCCUAUAACCACCAAGUGGAGCGCAAUUUAAGGGUCCCAUAUUUUACCAAACCAACUUUUUCUAGUCUCUAGGAUAUUUUAAACAUGUGAAAUAUGAAUUACUUUAUAUGAAUUACUGAGUUACAGACGUUUUCUACCGAGAGGGCUGAAAUCAGGUCAUUUGAAUUUCUCGAGCUUAUCUACGUCACUAGCGAAGAUCUCUGCCUACCUCUACGCUCCCAAGCCAGCGGUGUCAACAUAAACGUGUGCUCUCACAAGUAGUGAGGGUUGGGUCUUCUACGCGGAGGCAACCAAUCAGAUGAAAGGGUGUAGUCUUAGUCAAAUAUGGACAAAACGGACACGAAACUGGGUCAAACAAGUAUGUCAGAGGAGCCUUUUCUUGACACUAAAAACCAAUAUGGGACCUUUUAAUUGAUUCCUCCACACGCUAAUAAAUUGCAGUGGUACCUCGA
Molecule: long non-coding RNA, 1463 nt
Organism: Phyllopteryx taeniolatus (common seadragon)
Lineage: Eukaryota; Metazoa; Chordata; Actinopteri; Syngnathiformes; Syngnathidae
Exons: 2
Source: RefSeq, a predicted model, not a curated record